AGAGUUUGAUCCUGGCUCAGAUUGAACGCUGGCGGCAUGCCUAACACAUGCAAGUCGAACGCGAAAGUCGUCUUCGGGCGGCGAGUAGAGUGGCGGACGGGUGAGUAAGGCGUAGGAAUCCACCUUGCAGCGGGGGACAACCCUGGGAAACCAGGGCUAAUACCGCAUGACCUCUACGGAGGAAAGCCGGGGACCUUUUCGGAGGCCUGGCACUGCGAGACGAGCCUACGUCCGAUUAGCUUGUUGGUGGGGUAAAGGCCCACCAAGGCGACGAUCGGUAGCUGGUCUGAGAGGAUGAUCAGCCACACUGGGACUGAGACACGGCCCAGACUCCUACGGGAGGCAGCAGUGGGGAAUAUUGGACAAUGGGGGCAACCCUGAUCCAGCAAUGCCGCGUGUGUGAAGAAGGCCUGCGGGUUGUAAAGCACUUUCAGCAGGGGAGAAAGGCCCUUGAUUAAGAGUUGGGGGUUUUGACGUUACCUGCAGAAGAAGCACCGGCUAACUCCGUGCCAGCAGCCGCGGUAAUACGGAGGGUGCGAGCGUUAAUCGGAAUUACUGGGCGUAAAGCGCGCGUAGGCGGUUUGUCAAGUCGGAUGUGAAAUCCCCGGGCUCAACCUGGGAAUUGCAUUCGAAACUGGCGGACUGGAGUUCGGUAGAGGGGAGUGGAAUUCCACAUGUAGCGGUGAAAUGCGUAGAUAUGUGGAGGAACACCAGUGGCGAAGGCGGCUCCCUGGAUCGAAACUGACGCUGAGGUGCGA
RNAcentral lists this ribosomal RNA (758 nucleotides) under uncultured sediment bacterium. RNAcentral describes it as "bacterial SSU rRNA". It matches the Rfam family "Bacterial small subunit ribosomal RNA", at positions 8 to 756 of the family's 1533-position model. The record is from RNAcentral.